GGGUCAGUAGGUUGGUCGUGCCACCGGUACGUACUGGUCUCACUGAUUCCUCCUUCCUGAAGAACCGUAAUGCCAUUAAUUUGGUGUUGCGGGGAAGCAGGACUGUUACUUUGAAAAAAUUAGAGUGUUUAAAGCAAGCUAACGCUUGAAUACAUUAGCAUGGAAUAAUGAAAUAGGACGAUCGAUCCUAUUUUGUUGGCUUCUAGGAUUGACGUA
RNAcentral lists this ribosomal RNA (216 nucleotides) under Glomeromycotina sp. Its description in RNAcentral is "partial small subunit ribosomal RNA". The stretch from base 40 to 216 matches the Rfam family "Eukaryotic small subunit ribosomal RNA", at positions 686 to 864 of the family's 1831-position model. Lineage: Eukaryota; Fungi; Glomeromycota. The record is from RNAcentral.